This 2132-nucleotide long non-coding RNA is filed under the name Marmota monax (woodchuck). The record is from RNAcentral. Lineage: Eukaryota; Metazoa; Chordata; Mammalia; Rodentia; Sciuridae.
AUGUAGAAGAAUGAUAAAAGAUGUAUGAGAACAAUAGUAAAAAUUCAGUGAUUAUUCCAGAGGGUCUAACAAGCAAAUAAUAGGCAUUUCAGCAAUUCAGAAUAGAGAAAAUGUAGGGAAGAAAAUGAUCAGACAAUUCAAGAUUUAUAAGGACUGAAAAGAGUUUCCAGUUUGAAAGGGCUCAUUCAGUAUUCAAUCCAAUGUGUAAAAAAAAUGCUCUGGGAAGGCACAUGAACAUAAACUUUGUUUUGUUUUUGCAGUGCUGGGGAUGAAUCCAGGGGCUGCAUAUCUGUAAAUGCUCCACCACUAAGCUGCACCCCAAAUUCAUGAAUAAAUUCUUAAAUCCUCUAAAUAAGAAACAGGUAACAGAAAAAGGAUACAAAAUCAGAAUAGCAACAAUAGAUGUUACAAAAGCAAUGUUGUAGUCCUUUAAAAUUGAGAAGGAAAAUAAUCCCCAAUGUAAAUUCUAUCAUCUAGUUUAAGCAUUGUGUCCCCGGCAAUUCCUAGGGUAUCCUUCAGCCCCAAGCUGAAGUAUUAGGAGCUGAGGCUUCUGGAAGGUGGUUAGGUCAUGAGGGUGGAGCCUUUUUCUCAUACACUGAUCCUUUGCACAAGAUUCGCCACAUUUUGCCAUAAGCCUUAAACAACAUCCAGCUUUUCAAAGUAUUUACAUACAUAAAACAGAAUGGAAGAGAGGAAAAGAAGGGAAAAAAAAGGAGGAAGAGAGACUAUGGCAGAUGAUCUUGGUUGUCAAUUUAACUGGAUUCAGAGAUGCCUAGAAGAUUAGGAGAGCACACUUCUGGGCGUGCCUGUGAGGGUGUCUCCAGAGAUGAUUUGCAUGUGGGUCAACCAACUGAGAGGGAGACCUGCCCUGAAUGUGGGCAGCCCUUACCAAUAGGCUGGGGACCCAGAUGGCAUAAAAAGAAGAAGGGGAAGCCUGCCAUCGUGCACAAGCUUGAUUCUUCGUAAGCAGGUGCAUCAGACCCCAGCUUCUUCAAAUUCUCAAGAUGGACUUAUAUGAACGACUCUCCAGGGAGAUUCUAGGAAGGCUUCAGCCUCAGACUGAGGCUGCACCUUUGUCCCUCUUGUUCUGAGGCUUGGACUGAGCAACUGCUCAUUUCUAUGGCUCCCUGCCUAGAGAUGGCCACUGUGGGACGAAUCAGCCUUGGACCAUGCGAGUCAAUAAUAAACCUCUUUUUGUAAUUAUGUACACUUCCUAUGGUCCUGUUCCUCUAGUGGAUCCUGACUAAUACAGAGAGAAAAGGGGAAGAGGAGGAGAGAGAGAGGGACCUGAUAAAUUAGUUCCUAUUAAGCUAAUUACGAUCCAUAACAGUUUAGUGAAUUCCCUUUCCCAAGAGCAUUCACAUUUUAAAAGGUGGCGAGAAACACCAUUUACACUUUAACCCACAGAACUGAGCCAGGCCCUGUAAUGAGGAAAUGGGGGCUAUGUGUGGAGCCACAUAAUCUGGGGAGAUUACCCACCAUUCCAAGCCACAAGCAGAAGAAUGUAAAGACACUGGCUAGCUGGAGAAGAGAAAGUGAGAGAACAGCACAGUGAACACUGCUUUCUUGGACCUGAGGAUAUAGCUCAGUAGUAGAGUGCUUACCUGGUAUGUGCAAGGCCCCAGGUUAAACCCCAGCACUGCAAAAGACAGAAGAAGGUGGGGCAGGGUGGGGGGACUGCUUUGUUAACCAACAGAUCCGUAGAGACUCUGAGUCUGCUGUAGAGAAUAUUGAAACAAUGAAUCUGACCAUGAGCUUGGGAAGCACCUAGACUGACCAGGGAAGAAAUGGGGUGCAAGCAGGAAUAAAGUUGGAAACAAUGUCUUGUGUUUAUUAGUUUUGGGGUGGUGGGUAUCUAUCAAGAAAGAUCUGGACAUUCAAACUGAGAACACCAGCUCCAACAUGGAACACUGCCUGAGGAUAAUUCUGAAUCCUUGGUGAAUCAUGCACCCUGUACAAAGGACCAGGAUAUGAGAAGUAUGCUCCGAUGUUGUUUGUGGACGUGUUGAUGGGUACCCCCUCAUGGAAAAUAACGUAGUGACUGAGCCAGUUUACACCUUUGAUGCAGUUGAUUCACUCCUGGUACUGCAUAUUGAAGCAAUAAAUUUGAAAUAUAGGUAGAUUUUCCCAUG